UACGGCCAUAUCACGUUAAAACAUUGGUUCCCGUAUGAUCACCGAAGUUAAUCAGUGUCGAACGUGUUCAGUACCUACAUAGGCGACCGCUUGGGAAUAUCAAGUACAG
Molecule: non-coding RNA, 109 nt
Organism: Acanthosepion pharaonis
Lineage: Eukaryota; Metazoa; Mollusca; Cephalopoda; Sepiida; Sepiidae
Source: the annotation of a GenBank genome assembly